Molecule: ribosomal RNA, 718 nt
Filed under: Phyllactinia fraxinicola
Lineage: Eukaryota; Fungi; Ascomycota; Leotiomycetes; Helotiales; Erysiphaceae
Description: eukaryotic LSU rRNA
Rfam family: Eukaryotic large subunit ribosomal RNA
Source: RNAcentral
UAGUAACGGCGAGUGAAGCGGUAACAGCUCAAAUUUGAAAUCUGGCUCCCUGCGGAGUCCGAGUUGUAAUUUGUAGAAGAUGCUUUGGGUGCUCGGCCCGGUCUAAGUUCCUUGGAACAGGACGUCGUAGAGGGUGAGAAUCCCGUAUGCGGCCGGGGUGGGUGCUCGUGUAAAGCUCUUUCGACGAGUCGAGUUGUUUGGGAAUGCAGCUCAAAUUGGGUGGUAAAUUUCAUCUAAAGCUAAAUAUGGGCCAGAGACCGAUAGCGCACAAGUAGAGUGAUCGAAAGAUGAAAAGCACUUUGGAAAGAGAGUUAAACAGUACGUGAAAUUGUUGAAAGGGAAGCGCUUGCAACCAGACUUGGGCGUCGCUGAUCAUCCAAAGUUUUCUUUGGUGCACUCGACGACGUACAGGCCAGCAUCGGUUGGGGUGGUGGGAGAAAGGUUGUGGGAACGUAGCUCUCUUCGGGGAGUGUUAUAGCCUGCGACGCAAUACCGCCUACCCUGACCGAGGACCGCGCUUCGGCUAGGAUGCUGGCGUAAUGGUUGUAAGCGACCCGUCUUGAAACACGGACCAAGGAGUCUAACAUCUAUGCGAGUGUUUGGGUGCGAAACCCAUGCGCGAAAUGAAAGUGAACGUAGGUGAGAACCCUUCGAGGGGGCAUCAUCGACCGAUCCUGAUGUCUUCGGAUGGAUUUGAGUAAGAGCAUAGCUGUUGGGA